This is a long non-coding RNA of Homo sapiens (human), 829 nucleotides long. Ensembl annotates it as SLC38A4 antisense RNA 1. Its record names the gene SLC38A4-AS1. Lineage: Eukaryota; Metazoa; Chordata; Mammalia; Primates; Hominidae. The record is from Ensembl.
GCAGAGGGGACGAUGAGGUGCGGAGGCGUUGGCAGUUGACUUUUGCUGAUGGAGCCUCUCUGAAGGGCAAAUUCAAAGUACAGCUGGGUGCUGCAGCACUGGAGUGCGAACUUGUGGCUGUGGUUAUGAAGGAGCCUCGUCAGCUAUGCCUUUAGCCCCUGGUGAAGCAGUGCCAGUCACACUUUGCCAGUCAAACGGAGAGGCAGCAGUAGUAAGACCAGACCAAAUCAAACCAAACCAAGCAAACCACGGGGAAUGGAGACACAGAGUUUCAUUCUGUCACCCAGGCUGGAGUGCAGAUGCAGUGGCAUGAUGAUAGUGCACUACAACUUGGAACUCCUGGGCUCAAGCCAUCUUCCCUCCACUGCCUCCAAGUAGCUGGGGACUACAGGUGACUGGUUAUCUUGAUCUCUCCCACAAUUGGUUUGGAAGCCUGCUCAGCAGCCCCUGUCACUCAACUCUCAAAGAUCACUUUUGUUUUCAAGCAAAUACUAAAACAGGUGGAACCUGCCACCAGUAAUAUGACCCACUGAGUAGAGAAGGUGACUCAGUCUUGGCAGCUCAAGUCAGGCUUGGGAGAGGUGACUGUGGGAAUCCAAAUGAACGGCUUAUUUCCAAAGAAUGUGCAAAAUUCCAGUGUCAAAAAUGUGAACAAUUCAGUGCAACUGGACACACCUGACACACCUCUGCAGUCUUCCUCACACAAAGCCACCUGCUCUAAGUCAGCUUCAGGAGAAUCUUGUUUUCUAGCACCCACAGGAGCAGUUCCUACAACUCAAGGGAGAGUUCAGAUGGAAGGAGUGUUUGCUCCAAGGCUUGAUAUGCAGCU